Molecule: long non-coding RNA, 240 nt
Filed under: Triticum aestivum (bread wheat)
Lineage: Eukaryota; Viridiplantae; Streptophyta; Magnoliopsida; Poales; Poaceae
Description: long non-coding RNA (TAES_LNC013446)
Source: RNAcentral
UUUCUUUAACCAUUCAAAAUAACAGACAUUGAAAUAACAGUGCUCGAUCAUUCAUGCCAAGAUUCGAUGAGCCGCCUUCGCUAUAUGCAUUCCUCGGCAUCUUGUGUAGCACAACAUCAUUUAUCUUGCUGAUCAGUGAGCAUCAUCUGGAGCUGAAAGAAUCCAAGUGCCCACACUCAUGACAGCAACUGACAUCUUUUUACUCUUCAAACUUUUAUUUCCUCCUGUCUGCACUAAUUG